Molecule: non-coding RNA, 109 nt
Organism: Poronia punctata
Lineage: Eukaryota; Fungi; Ascomycota; Sordariomycetes; Xylariales; Xylariaceae
Source: the annotation of a GenBank genome assembly
UCCGAAUUGGUGUAGUGGCUAACAUUUGACGCUCUCAUCAUUUGAAUUGAAUUCGAUUCAUUCACUUGAAGGUGCCGUCAAGCCCGGGGUUCGAUUCCCCGAUUCGGAG